Molecule: ribosomal RNA, 1117 nt
Filed under: fungal sp. ARIZ AZ0924
Lineage: Eukaryota; Fungi
Also listed under: 10 other names
Description: eukaryotic LSU rRNA
Rfam family: Eukaryotic large subunit ribosomal RNA (bases 521-1117)
Source: RNAcentral
GAUCAUUACCGAGUGCGGGUCCUUUGGGCCCAACCUCCCAUCCGUGUCUAUUGUACCCUGUUGCUUCGGCGGGCCCGCCGCUUGUCGGCCGCCGGGGGGGCGCCUCUGCCCCCCGGGCCCGUGCCCGCCGGAGACCCCAACACGAACACUGUCUGAAAGCGUGCAGUCUGAGUUGAUUGAAUGCAAUCAGUUAAAACUUUCAACAAUGGAUCUCUUGGUUCCGGCAUCGAUGAAGAACGCAGCGAAAUGCGAUAACUAAUGUGAAUUGCAGAAUUCAGUGAAUCAUCGAGUCUUUGAACGCACAUUGCGCCCCCUGGUAUUCCGGGGGGCAUGCCUGUCCGAGCGUCAUUGCUGCCCUCAAGCCCGGCUUGUGUGUUGGGUCGCCGUCCCCCUCUCCGGGGGGACGGGCCCGAAAGGCAGCGGCGGCACCGCGUCCGAUCCUCGAGCGUAUGGGGCUUUGUCACAUGCUCUGUAGGAUUGGCCGGCGCCUGCCGACGUUUUCCAACCAUUCUUUCCAGGUUGACCUCGGAUCAGGUAGGGAUACCCGCUGAACUUAAGCAUAUCAAUAAGCGGAGGAAAAGAAACCAACCGGGAUUGCCUCAGUAACGGCGAGUGAAGCGGCAAGAGCUCAAAUUUGAAAGCUGGCUCCUUCGGAGUCCGCAUUGUAAUUUGCAGAGGAUGCUUUGGGUGCGGCCCCCGUCUAAGUGCCCUGGAACGGGCCGUCAGAGAGGGUGAGAAUCCCGUCUUGGGCGGGGUGUCCGUGCCCGUGUAAAGCUCCUUCGACGAGUCGAGUUGUUUGGGAAUGCAGCUCUAAAUGGGUGGUAAAUUUCAUCUAAAGCUAAAUACUGGCCGGAGACCGAUAGCGCACAAGUAGAGUGAUCGAAAGAUGAAAAGCACUUUGAAAAGAGAGUUAAACAGCACGUGAAAUUGUUGAAAGGGAAGCGCUUGCGACCAGACUCGCCCGCGGGGUUCAGCCGGCAUUCGUGCCGGUGUACUUCCCCGUGGGCGGGCCAGCGUCGGUUUGGGCGGCCGGUCAAAGGCCCCUGGAAUGUAGUGCCCUCCGGGGCACCUUAUAGCCAGGGGUGCAAUGCGGCCAGCCUGGACCGAGGAACGCGCU